UACAGAGGUCUCGAGCGUUGUUCGGAUUCAUUGGGCGUAAAGGGUGCGUAGGUGGCUUGGUAAGUCGGAUGUGAAAUCCCGGGGCUCAACCCCGGAACUGCAUUCGAUACUGCUUGAGCUUGAGUCCUGGAGAGGAGAUCGGAAUUUACGGUGUAGCAGUGAAAUGCGUAGAUAUCGUAAGGAAGACCAGUGGCGAAGGCGGGUCUCUGGACAGUUCCUGACGCUGAGGCACGAAGGUCAGGGGAGCAAACGGG
Molecule: ribosomal RNA, 254 nt
Filed under: uncultured bacterium
Lineage: Bacteria
Description: partial 16S ribosomal RNA
Rfam family: Bacterial small subunit ribosomal RNA
Source: RNAcentral